Molecule: ribosomal RNA, 1255 nt
Filed under: 'Quercus humboldtii' phytoplasma
Lineage: Bacteria; Bacillati; Mycoplasmatota; Mollicutes; Acholeplasmatales; Acholeplasmataceae
Description: bacterial SSU rRNA
Rfam family: Bacterial small subunit ribosomal RNA
Source: RNAcentral
GUCUUAUUAAUUAUUAUCAGGAAACGACUGCUAAGACUGGAUAGGAGACAAGAAGGCAUCUUCUUGUUUUUAAAAGACCUAGCAAUAGGUAUGCUUAGGGAGGAGCUUGCGUCACAUUAGUUAGUUGGCGGGGUAAAGGCCUACCAAGACUAUGAUGUGUAGCCGGGCUGAGAGGUUGAACGGCCACAUUGGGACUGAGACACGGCCCAAACUCCUACGGGAGGCAGCAGUAGGGAAUUUUCGGCAAUGGAGGAAACUCUGACCGAGCAACGCCGCGUGAACGAUGAAGUAUUUCGGUACGUAAAGUUCUUUUAUUAGGGAAGAAUAAAUGAUGGAAAAAUCAUUCUGACGGUACCUAAUGAAUAAGCCCCGGCUAACUAUGUGCCAGCAGCCGCGGUAAUACAUAGGGGGCAAGCGUUAUCCGGAAUUAUUGGGCGUAAAGGGUGCGUAGGCGGUUAAAUAAGUUUAUGGUCUAAGUGCAAUGCUCAACAUUGUGAUGCUAUAAAAACUGUUUAGCUAGAGUAAGAUAGAGGCAAGUGGAAUUCCAUGUGUAGUGGUAAAAUGCGUAAAUAUAUGGAGGAACACCAGUAGCGAAGGCGGCUUGCUGGGUCUUUACUGACGCUGAGGCACGAAAGCGUGGGGAGCAAACAGGAUUAGAUACCCUGGUAGUCCACGCCGUAAACGAUGAGUACUAAACGUUGGGUAAAACCAGUGUUGAAGUUAACACAUUAAGUACUCCGCCUGAGUAGUACGUACGCAAGUAUGAAACUUAAAGGAAUUGACGGGGACUCCGCACAAGCGGUGGGAUCAUGUUGUUUAAUUCGAAGGUACCCGAAAAACCUUACCGGGUCUUGACAUGCUUCUGCAAAGCUGUAGAAACACAGUGGAGGUUAUCAGUUGCACAGGUGGUGCAUGGUUGUCGUCAGCUCGUGUCGUGAGAUGUUGGGUUAAGUCCCGCAACGAGCGCAACCCUUAUUGUUAGUUACCAGCACGUAAUGGUGGGGACUUUAGCAAGACUGCCAGUGAUAAAUUGGAGGAAGGUGGGGACGACGUCAAAUCAUCAUGCCCCUUAUGACCUGGGCUACAAACGUGAUACAAUGGCUGUUACAAAGGGUAGCUGAAGCGCAAGUUUUUGGCGAAUCUCAAAAAAACAGUCUCAGUUCGGAUUGAAGUCUGCAACUCGACUUCAUGAAGUUGGAAUCGCUAGUAAUCGCGAAUCAGCAUGUCGCGGUGAAUACGUUCUCGGGGUUUGUAC